Molecule: small nucleolar RNA, 144 nt
Filed under: Macaca nemestrina (pig-tailed macaque)
Lineage: Eukaryota; Metazoa; Chordata; Mammalia; Primates; Cercopithecidae
Source: RNAcentral
GUCCUCUCUCCCGAAGGCCGGGGGGAGUGGGCCGGGGGGGCCCUUUCUUCCUCAGCCAGGCGGAGGCAAAGAUCCAGAUCUUGAGGAUCAUUUUUAAGCACUGCCCAUGUGCGGGGAAACCUUGUUUUUCCUCCCCAGACAUUU